Molecule: long non-coding RNA, 302 nt
Filed under: Brassica rapa (field mustard)
Lineage: Eukaryota; Viridiplantae; Streptophyta; Magnoliopsida; Brassicales; Brassicaceae
Description: long non-coding RNA (BRAP_LNC004345)
Source: RNAcentral
UGGAGAUAAAAUAAUAAAGACCCGUAGCUGACCACUGAACAGCCCAGCGGUUGAUGAUUGAAGACGAUAAUCGAUCGACAUACACUCUAUGUUGUCGAUUGACAGCGAAAUGCGCAAAGGCCAGAUUUGGUUCCAACCGGCUAUAAGUCCAAGUCCCACAAGAAUUACCUUGCCCCUGACGAGUUUUAACCUAAUAUUUAUGUGCUAUGCCAUUGUUCUAGGCAACGCACACUUUCUACACUUUCAUACAUCAAAAUACUUAGAGUCUUAGGUUUGGAGAGAAGAUACAAGAAUUCAUUCAG